AAAACAUUCUGAUCAUUCAGCUUCCACAAAAUACAAAUUUUCGAAAUUGGUCAGUAGAAAGAUUCAGUGUAAAUUAAAAAUGGUAAAAAAGGCAGAAAUUUGCAUUAAUAGAAUUAUAGUUUCCCCCGACACAAAUUGACGAAUCAUGAUCCACAUAUCAAUCUGCAAUAUUCAGAAAACAAUGAGUGUUUACUAAAAUCAACAUACUAUUGUAACAAUAGCACCGUUAUUGAAAAACAAACUAAAAAUUCCAAAAAUCGAGUUAAAUG
RNAcentral lists this unclassified non-coding RNA (269 nucleotides) under Hevea brasiliensis (rubber tree). The record is from RNAcentral. Lineage: Eukaryota; Viridiplantae; Streptophyta; Magnoliopsida; Malpighiales; Euphorbiaceae.